AGCGUCAUUAUCAACCAUCAAGCUUGGCUUGUCGUUGGACUCUGGUCGGUAAAAGACCAGUCCAAAAUUGAAUGGACGGGACCUGUCGGCCCUAGAUGCAACGAGCUUCACGGCACGCAUCAAAAGGUCGCCGGCCCCGCCUUUAAACCCCAUUUUCUCAGGUUGACCUCGGAUCAGGUAGGAAUACCCGCUGAACUUAA
This 200-nucleotide unclassified non-coding RNA is filed under the name soil metagenome. RNAcentral's name for it is "partial contains internal transcribed spacer 2 and large subunit ribosomal RNA". The record is from RNAcentral.